Molecule: ribosomal RNA, 253 nt
Filed under: uncultured bacterium
Lineage: Bacteria
Description: partial 16S ribosomal RNA
Rfam family: Bacterial small subunit ribosomal RNA
Source: RNAcentral
UACGGAGGGUGCAAGCGUUGUCCGGAAUUAUUGGGCGUAAAGGGCGCGUAGGCGGCCUGGCAAGUGAAAGGUGAAAUCCCUCGGCUUAACCGAGGAACUGCCUUUCAGACUGCUUGGCUUGAGACCGGGAGAGGUGAGUGGAAUUCCCAGUGUAGCGGUGAAAUGCGUAGAUAUUGGGAGGAACACCAGUGGCGAAGGCGGCUCACUGGACCGGUACUGACGCUGAUGCGCGAAAGCGUGGGGAGCAAACAGG